UACAGAGGUCUCAAGCGUUGUUCGGAUUCAUUGGGCGUAAAGGGUGCGUAGGCGGCGCGGUAAGUCGGGUGUGAAAUCUUGGAGCUUAACUCCGAAACUGCAUUCGAUACUGCGGUGCUUGAGGACUGGAGAGGAGACUGGAAUUUACGGUGUAGCAGUGAAAUGCGUAGAUAUCGUAAGGAAGACCAGUGGCGAAGGCGGGUCUCUGGACAGUUCCUGACACUGAGGCACGAAGGCCAGGGGAGCAAACGGG
RNAcentral lists this ribosomal RNA (253 nucleotides) under uncultured bacterium. RNAcentral describes it as "partial 16S ribosomal RNA". It matches the Rfam family "Bacterial small subunit ribosomal RNA", at positions 524 to 776 of the family's 1533-position model. The record is from RNAcentral.